UUUUUUUUAAAUUUUUAUUUAUUUAUGAUAGUCACACAGAGAGAGAGAGAGAGAGGCAGAGACACAGGCAGAGGGAGAAGCAGGCCCCAUGCACCGGGAGCCCGACGUGGGACUCGAUCCCGGGACUCCAGGAUCGCGCCCUGGGCCAAAGGCAGGCGCCAAACCGCUGCGCCACCCAGGGAUCCCCUGUCAUUUUAAUUUAAUUUAAUUUUAACAUAGGGUCCUAACUGAUUUAAGAGAUACACUUACCAUGUGGACACAAAGAUCAUGUCUUUGAGCUAGGGUGUUCUUUUCCUUACACAGUGCUUGAAUGGACACUUCUAAUUUGUAACUUACCAGGUUUCUAUUUUCUGUUCCAUGGGAUGGCUGAUCUCAAUGAUGCAAUGUUAACUCCAGAUUUAAAAAUAAAUUAUAUCCUAAGAAUAUGGGAUGAAAAUUUGAAGUCUAGAUAAUCUUGGAAAUAUAAGAAGAUAAAAAACCUUAAGUCACAAAAGGGAGAGAUAUACUUCGCUAUUAAAGAAUAUGACAAAGAUACUCAAACCAAAAAUAAGACAAUCAAUAGAGUGAAAAAAUAUCUGUAUAAUAUAUGACAAAGGGUUGACAUCCCUAAAGAUCCAAUGUUUCUAUAAAUUAAAAUAAAUAAAUACAUAAAUACAUAUGUAAAUAAAUAAGCUACUUAAAAAAGGCAAAGUACAUGAACAGACAAGUGGUCAAAGACUGCAAUCAAAUGUACAAUAAAUGCAGAACAACACUCUCAACCUCACUAGUAGUUAGCAACAAGGAAUUAUUUUUCACAAAAAUUUCACAAAUAUUCAAAAAGUGAGAACAUUCAGUGAAGAUGAAUGAUGAUGAGCAUGACAAAUACAUUUCUGGUGGGAAUAUAGUUAAUCUUUAUUAUUUGAGAAUUUUGUACGUACAAAUUCACCUACUCCCUGAAAUUUUUUGUUUUAUUUUUUUAAAGACUUUAUUUAUUUGACACAGAGAGAGACAGCACAGGAGAGGGAGUAGCAGAAACAGGCUCCCUGUUAAGCAGGGAGCCCCAUGCAGGGUGCAAUCUUACCACCCAGGCACCCUGCCCUGAAAUUUAUUUGUAACCUCAGAAUCAAUACUUGCAAUGAUUUUUCAGCCGUUUGUGGUCAUUCAUGGAUAUGUGCAGAAGGGUGAAAAAUUUGAGUCAUUCAUUGUGCACAUUUCCAGCUGGUGUCAAACAAGGUAAUCUUCCAUUUUCUUUGACUUUAUAGUCCAUAAUUAAGUGGAAUCCUAAUCAAUCGUAAUUUGACUCGAGCUUUUAAGAAAUUAGUAUUAUAAUACUAAUAAUAUUAACAAUGAAUAUAGCUUUUGAUCCAGAAAUAUCAUUUCUGCACAUCUAUUCCCCCCAAAUAAAAGCAAUGUUUAUAAUGGCAACAAAACACAUAACAAUAUUAGGAAGUUACCUGAAUAUUCAUUGAUGGGGAAAUGCUUGAAUAUCUGAAUAUAUCCAUGCGAUGGGAAAUUUUACAAAUUUAAGGAAUGAAUGGAUAAAUAAACAAAUAUAUAAAUCUAUAUCUGUAUCUAUAUCUAACUUCAGAGUUUUUUUUUUUUUCAACUUUCCUUUAUGGUACUGGUUAACUACUGUGGGCAGUAUUUGGCCUUACAUGGAGUUUAUCGUCCAUUGAGCUAUAUUUCCAAGCGAGCUGACACAUAUAUUUGUGUGUGUGUGUGUGUGUGUGUACAUACAAAUGUAUAUAAACAUACUUUUUUUAAACCUGGAGGGUUUUUUUAUGACUUGAGAAAUAUAGAUUUUAAUACAAUAUAUGUAAUAUGACCCAGUUUAUAAAAAUAAACAACAGAAACAAAAAUAAAAACCCUCCAAAGACUGUAUAUAUGUUUGAAUGGGUAAUGCAGAGAAUGGGGUUGGAAGUAUGCUCGCCCAGCUACUAACAUUGUUACUUCAGGGUAGAAGAAACAGAGUCUGGUAAGAUUUACCUUUUUCAAUCAUAUUUGUAUUCUCAUUUACAAUGAACAUAUUUUUUAAAAGAUUUAUUUAUUUUACUUUUUUAAAAAUAUUUACUUAUUUAUUUUAGAGAGAGAGAACACAUACGUGCACAAGUGGGGUGAGGGGCAGAGGAAGAGGGAGAGAGAAAAUCCCCAAGCAGACUCCCCACUGAGUGCAGAGCCUGACCUAAGGGUCAGGGUCAAUCCCAUGACCCUAAGAUCAUGACCUGAGCCAAAAUGGAAGUCAGAUGCUCAACCAACUGAGUCACCUAGGUGCCCUACAAAUUUUUAUUUUUAAGAAACUUAAAGAGAAAGCAUAAAAACAAAUAAUCAGUUGGAUAUGAAUAAACAAGUGCAGAUUCCUUUAUCCCACCCCCAAAUUUCCAGUGUUUGUGCAAUGAAGCUUCAGAAUCUGCAUUUUCACAGGCAUCUCAGGAGAUUCCUAGGUGGGCUGGUGAUUCUCACCACCCUGAGAAACCCAGCUCUGGACUAACAUCACCCUUUCCGUCCAGUCUUCCUAAGGGAACAUCACUGAUGAGACUGUUAACAACUAAAUGCAACUAUCACCCAGUUCCAUGAAGUAGCUCCCAUAUCACCUUGAUGGGAGCUAUGGGUGUUCUCAAACUCUUCAACCAUGCAUUGCUGGAAAUUCUGUUUCUUUCCCACCACAGAUGGCUAAUGGUAUCUGUUGUGUGUGCACUUACCUCAUUUAACCCUUAGGGAGCACCUGGAUUUUCCUUAUCUUCAAGAUGUUAGUUGAGGGGUCUGCAGUCAGCCCCUGAAUCAACAACUUUGUCAUUUUUGUCAUGAGAUCCAUAUUAGGAGAAGCCUUCACUAUAUAGUGAAACCCAUAUA
This 2829-nucleotide long non-coding RNA is filed under the name Canis lupus familiaris (dog). Its description in RNAcentral is "lncRNA (ENSCAFG00000052187.1)". The record is from RNAcentral. Lineage: Eukaryota; Metazoa; Chordata; Mammalia; Carnivora; Canidae.